AUUGAACGCUGGCGCCAUUCCUAACACAUGCAAGUCGAACGGUAACAGGAAGAAGCUUGCUUCUUUGCUGACGAGUGGCGGACGGGUGAGUAAUGUCUGGGAAACUGCCUGAUGGAGGGGGAUAACUACUGGAAACGGUAGCUAAUACCGCAUAACGUCGCAAGACCAAAGAGGGGGACCUUCGGGCCUCUUGCCAUCGGAUGUGCCCAGAUGGGAUUAGCUUGUUGGUGGGGUAACGGCUCACCAAGGCGACGAUCCCUAGCUGGUCUGAGAGGAUGACCAGCCACACUGGAACUGAGACACGGUCCAGACUCCUACGGGAGGCAGCAGUGGGGAAUAUUGCACAAUGGGCGCAAGCCUGAUGCAGCCAUGCCGCGUGUAUGAAGAAGGCCUUCGGGUUGUAAAGUACUUUCAGCGGGGAGGAAGGGAGUAAAGUUAAUACCUUUGCUCAUUGACGUUACCCGCAGAAGAAGCACCGGCUAACUCCGUGCCAGCAGCCGCGGUAAUACGGAGGGUGCAAGCGUUAAUCGGAAUUACUGGGCGUAAAGCGCACGCAGGCGGUUUGUUAAGUCAGAUGUGAAAUCCCCGGGCUCAACCUGGGAACUGCAUCUGAUACUGGCAAGCUUGAGUCUCGUAGAGGGGGGUAGAAUUCCAGGUGUAGCGGUGAAAUGCGUAGAUAUCUGGAGGAAUACCGGUGGCGAAGGCGGCCCCCUGGACGAAGACUGACGCUCAGGUGCGAAAGCGUGGGGAGCAGACAGG
Molecule: ribosomal RNA, 759 nt
Filed under: uncultured bacterium
Lineage: Bacteria
Description: bacterial SSU rRNA
Rfam family: Bacterial small subunit ribosomal RNA
Source: RNAcentral